Molecule: transfer RNA, 65 nt
Filed under: Promecognathus crassus
Lineage: Eukaryota; Metazoa; Arthropoda; Insecta; Coleoptera; Carabidae
Description: tRNA-Ala
Rfam family: tRNA
About the family: Transfer RNA (tRNA) molecules are approximately 80 nucleotides in length. Their secondary structure includes four short double-helical elements and three loops (D, anti-codon, and T loops). Further hydrogen bonds mediate the characteristic L-shaped molecular structure. tRNAs have two regions of fundamental functional importance: the anti-codon, which is responsible for specific mRNA codon recognition, and the 3' end, to which the tRNAs corresponding amino acid is attached (by aminoacyl-tRNA synthetases). tRNAs cope with the degeneracy of the genetic code in two manners: having more than one tRNA (with a specific anti-codon) for a particular amino acid; and 'wobble' base-pairing, i.e. permitting non-standard base-pairing at the 3rd anti-codon position.
Source: RNAcentral
AGGAUUAUAGUUAAAUAUAACAUUUGAAUUGCAUUCAAAAAGUGUUGAUAAAUCAACUUAUCUUA